UUUUAAGCCAAUAAAGAAUGUAGUUCUAACAAGUUUUAUAGCUAGUCGUGCAAUACACUUAGAGUAUGAAAUUAGGUUACUUUCGAGAUUGUUAUCGAUUCAACCGUUUCUAAGAAAUAGGGCAACGUAAUGUUGGAUCGAUAGCAUUGAGUUAGUUGACUUCACGUGUGUUUCCUUAUAUACGUUAUGUCUAAAUUAAUUGAUGAUUUAUUUGAUAAAAAGAAAGAUGAGGCUCUAUGUUGGAUUUAUCCAAAACAGUGAUAAAUACCGCGGAGGAGUACAGAGCAGUUCUAGAUAAAGUGCCAGACUUCAAAACUCGACCAGAAAAGGUAAACGCAACUUAAAUACAUAAAAUAAAGGACAAAAAAGAAGAUCAGAAAACUAGAACUCCUCGUAAAGAAGUUAAAGCUUAUGAAAAAUUAGGAACGCGGGGAUAUGAAGAGAAACAUUUCACGUACAUGGAUCCAAUCCCUGCGGAAAUGAGAGGUUUGAAAUUCGAAGAGUUGUGCGCUGUACCCAUAGAGUGGCGUAUGCUGACGUCCAUCAGACCAAAGUCUAAAUUAGACGAAGAAUAUUUUAACAGGUUAGUUGAACUGAGAAAAUCUGAAUUGAAAACCAAAGCGCGUGACAAAAGGGAAUAUGCUAAAAAUAAUAUGAUAAGGAAAACAAAAAAUCGCUCAGGAGUUACUGAAACUAGAAUUGUGUCGUGUGCUGAAUGCGGAGAAGAAUAUUGCAAUGGCAAAAUGUGCGUCAUAACAAAUUACGAUAUGUUCGCUCGACUAAAAGUGGAAGUGGAGACAAAGACAUCACGCACACAAGCCACAUUGCCCCAGGGAGCGAGCAAGCUGCGCCGCAUGCGCCGGCGCGUGCGUCGCAAGCCGCGCAGCAAGAGUGCCGCACCCGCCGCCCUCGCCGCACGGAAACCACACGGCAACAAAUCGGGAGCUAGAAGUGAUUCAGAAUUGUAAUAUAUUUUGAGGAAUAAGGACAGAUACAAAACUUAAAAUCAUUUAGUUUUGCAAAUUGAAGGCCUGAUAAAUUUUCCUAUUGAUUAAAUUAAAAUUGAGCUACAAACAAGCAAAAUAGGAAACAUCAUAGACUACAGUCACACACACACACAACAUCACGCAUUUUAUCCCCGAAGGGGUAUGCAGAGGCGCAACCAUGGCA
RNA transcript from Manduca sexta (tobacco hornworm), 1170 nucleotides. RefSeq lists it as uncharacterized. The record is from RefSeq and is a predicted model, not a curated record. Lineage: Eukaryota; Metazoa; Arthropoda; Insecta; Lepidoptera; Sphingidae. The transcript is spliced from 4 exons.